UAGGGAAUCUUCGGCAAUGGACGAAAGUCUGACCGAGCAACGCCGCGUGAGUGAAGAAGGUUUUCGGAUCGUAAAGCUCUGUUGUUGGUGAAGAAGGAUAGAGGCAGUAACUGGUCUUUAUUUGACGGUAAUCAACCAGAAAGUCACGGCUAACUACGUGCCAC
This 164-nucleotide ribosomal RNA is filed under the name uncultured bacterium. RNAcentral's name for it is "partial 16S rRNA". It matches the Rfam family "Bacterial small subunit ribosomal RNA", at positions 355 to 511 of the family's 1533-position model. The record is from RNAcentral.